AUAAACCCAAAUUAAAUUAUAGAAACCAUACCAUAUCGAAUCCAUUUGAAUAACUUUGGAUGCAAUUGUAAGCAGAUUGAAUACUACAUCAGAAGUUGCAUUAUCAUAUGUCCACUUUAUUUUCAUAGUAAUGUGUCCUGUACUGUCUCUUAAUCAAAGGGCCCAGUAUACUGUGUUGGUUCCUGCCCUGUGGAAUACAGAGGUCCAAGACUGGGAGCUUAAAUGCAUGAACAGCCUGGAGCUGGAUGAAAGCCACAAUGAACCAAAAGCAGAACAAAGUGAAACUCAGGGCACACUGUCUGGUGAAGUCACAGAAGGAAAAGAGAAAGAAAAUGUAUCACCAUCAUCUGUGGGAGAAAAGACCACUGAGAAGGUCACACUUCCAGGUGCUGUAAAUAUACUGACACGGGUGAUGCGCCUGGCUCAACGGCACCUUUUGGACCCAAUGGGGCGACAGCGGGUCGAAAAAAAGAGUUCACAAACACAGGCAGCACCCAGACAGCAGAGUCCUGCAACUGGACGCUUUUGCGGGAGUCGGACUUCGGCUUCAUUAACACAAGCGCAGAUUCGAUCCAGGAGGCGAACGCAGCAGAGAGGCGUCACGAAUCAGCCAGUAGUGGAGGAGAGCAGUGACGAUGUUACUGUGGGAGAUGCAGAAGAUUGCGAAAAAACUGAAGGGGAGUUGUCAUCCAGACAGCAGAACAGCUUCCCGUUCAGGAAGGCCAAAGAGUCUAAGCUGAUCUGACACUGAAGGAAGAAGAAAAGAUGUGAUGGAACAAGGGAGGAAUACAGUGCUUAAACCUUACUAUGUAGUUUGGUUUGGGAUCUGGAAUAGUUGGUAAAGGAUGUGUGAUUAAGUUGCGCCUCAAACACACCCAGAUCAUCUGAGGUCAAUCUGAUUUUAUAGUUUGUGCUGAGCUGUAUAGCCAAUCUCAGAUCAGCCGCAGUGUGAAACCUGCUAACUGUUUUAUGUAGUUUGAUUGUGUAACUGAAAUUUUAUUGUGUGCUUAUUUUCUGUCUACUGGUGCAAUGUAUUUCUUCUAGUUGAAUCAUAAAUGCUUAACACUGACAUUUUAUUCCCUUUAGCAGCUGACA
Molecule: long non-coding RNA, 1095 nt
Organism: Astatotilapia calliptera (eastern happy)
Lineage: Eukaryota; Metazoa; Chordata; Actinopteri; Cichliformes; Cichlidae
Source: Ensembl